RNAcentral lists this ribosomal RNA (238 nucleotides) under Mesorhizobium sp. M7A.F.Ca.MR.228.00.0.0. RNAcentral's name for it is "partial 23S ribosomal RNA". It matches the Rfam family "Bacterial large subunit ribosomal RNA", at positions 78 to 316 of the family's 2925-position model. The record is from RNAcentral. Lineage: Bacteria; Pseudomonadati; Pseudomonadota; Alphaproteobacteria; Hyphomicrobiales; Phyllobacteriaceae.
UCGGGGAGCUGUAAGUAAGCUUUGAUCCGGAGAUUUCCGAAUGGGGAAACCCACUGCUCGUAAUGGAGUAGUAUUUUUACCUGAAUACAUAGGGUAAUAAAGGCAGACCCGGGGAACUGAAACAUCUAAGUACCCGGAGGAAGAGAAAGCAAACGCGAUUUCCUGAGUAGCGGCGAGCGAAACGGAAUUAGCCCAAACCAAGAGGCUUGCCUCUUGGGGUUGUAGGACACUCUAUACG